AGAAAACAUGAAUAAAAGUCAAAUUUACCAUAAUUCCGAUAUCAAAUCGGAGAUCAAACACGAGUUUUUUUAGUUUUCAAUUUCCUAUUUACAUUUCAAAUUAUUGCAUGAGCACGUAUAUUUAAGAUUAUAUACCAAGAUAUUGUUUAACUAAAAAAACUAGAUACAAAUUGAAAUUCAAAAACAGAACACUGUAAUUUGAUAUUAAAUCUACUAGCAAUCGUCGUACGAAUAUUUAUUUUAAAAAUAUAUUAUUCGAUUUGUUUUUAUUUUUUUUAUUUAACAAUUUAACAAAAAUUAUGUCCUAGGUUAAUGGGGAUAUGGGUGCUGCCACUGUUAUAGUUAAUUCAAUAUUUACAUAUAUCUAAGCAAUAAUUGCUAACGAAAAACAAUU
Cinara cedri is the source of this 394-nucleotide non-coding RNA. Lineage: Eukaryota; Metazoa; Arthropoda; Insecta; Hemiptera; Aphididae. The record is from the annotation of a GenBank genome assembly.